This 597-nucleotide long non-coding RNA is filed under the name Nicotiana benthamiana. RNAcentral describes it as "long non-coding RNA (NBEN_LNC029472)". The record is from RNAcentral. Lineage: Eukaryota; Viridiplantae; Streptophyta; Magnoliopsida; Solanales; Solanaceae.
UUUACUAUUCCCAAUGUGAUACUGACUAUCAUUGUAUAUUGCUUUAAUUAUAACAUUCUUAUUUCGAUUGGAGUUUAAAAAAUCUUUAAGAUAAAUUGAAUUAAAGCGUAUAAACAAUACUAAUAAAGAAGCCUACCUAAGUUUUAUGAUCUCAACUCAAGACAGGAUAAAGCGGGCUAUAGCUUCAAUGCUUCAAUGCCCUUGAUCAACCGUGCUCCAGAGAUGCUUCUAAGAACUUAUAAUAGUUUUCUUUAUUUUCUUGCUUAUCUUCUUUAAUUCAACUAAAAGAGUUAGUUGCUCAUCGUUGUAUCAAACUGAAUGCUUUAUUGAUAGAAAUAUUUUACAAAUAUUCUUCUCUCUAUUACUUAAAUUCUGAAAACUCGCUCUACUCUUUACUCCGAUCAUCCUACCAUUUAUAUAGAAAGAUAGAAAAUAAAGAAGUGAUUGUCGUUAGGCGACAUAUCACAUCUAAUUUAUUAAAGGGAUAAGAUUCCCUUCAAUUAUUUACAUUAGUGGGUUUUAAAGGUUACCCCACAACCUUAUCUUCUGACGCGUCUACAUUUGUCGUGGUGCGUUGGCUGAAUGUGUUCCAUCGCU